CAAAAAGGAAAGAUCAGGAAUUAGUAGUAAUUUUGUUUUUCUAUAGAGAAGAGUCGGUUGGUGCAAGACUUGAAAAACAAGUUAUGAACUGAGCCUGAAGACAAGUCUAUCGUUUGCUAUCCGCGUUAAGGGGCGUGAGUGUCACACUUUUUAGUGUGGAACUUAGGUGGUACCGCGAUUAUUCGUCCUAUGA
This 193-nucleotide non-coding RNA is filed under the name Lactobacillus sp. RNAcentral describes it as "T-box sequence". It matches the Rfam family "T-box leader". From Rfam's summary of the family: Uncharged tRNA acts as the effector for transcription antitermination of genes in the T-box leader family. T-boxes are found upstream of many aminoacyl-tRNA synthetase genes and some amino acid biosynthetic genes usually in Gram-positive bacteria. The anticodon of a specific tRNA base pairs to a specifier sequence within the T-box motif, and the NCCA acceptor tail of the tRNA base pairs to a conserved bulge in the T-box antiterminator hairpin. The record is from RNAcentral. Lineage: Bacteria; Bacillati; Bacillota; Bacilli; Lactobacillales; Lactobacillaceae.